GUCCCUGAGGUAUGUACUGUUUACCUGAGACCCGCCCCGGUCAGCCCUUCUGGGGAAAGAGUUCUCCACACUGAGUAAGACAGAAGGGCUAAGCUUCGGACUCCCCAGCUUGUCCAGUUAGAAACCCUCGGGUUCCCCCGUGUCCUGCACCAGCUCUGCCAGGCACCAGGCAUGUGGGAUCUUGCCUCCCUGACUGAGGAUUGAAUCUGCUCCCAAGGCAUUAGAACGGGAAGUCUUAACCACUGGACUGCUAGAGAAGUCCCAUCUGCUGACGUCUUGCAGCCCCCACACUCCCUCUCUGUGGGGGGCAGAACAACAGCUUUGAGAUGUCCACCUCCUAAUCCCCAGAAUCCAUGAAUAUGGUACCUGACAUGGCAAAAGGGUCAUUGCAGGUGUGAUGAAGGGUUCUGAGAUGGGGAGAUUAUCCAAGUGGACCCGAUGUCAUCAUAAGGGGCCUUACAAGGGAGAGGCAGGAAAAGAAGAUGCGGCAGCAAAACUGAGCAUCACAUAUAGUUUCAAAAGAGGUUGCAUCUCUACUGACAUGGGCUGAGGUGGUAAACUGGAGGAAGACUCAGACGAAUGAGGAUAGAGA
Molecule: long non-coding RNA, 592 nt
Organism: Bos taurus (domestic cattle)
Lineage: Eukaryota; Metazoa; Chordata; Mammalia; Artiodactyla; Bovidae
Source: Ensembl